AUAUUACUCAAAACUGAGAAUGUCUACAAUGAGUUAUGAGAACGACACCGUUUUGAUUCCAAGAACCGAUAUCGUGGUUGUUCGGGCAUGUUCGCAUUGCCACAGAACUAUAUACGCAUUUACAAACUACAUAUUUUCCAGCUCUUCGCGCGCAGCAGUGUGGACGCGGCGUAAGAUCCGAACGUCCUUCGAGGCGUUCUCGUCAAGCGGACGACUAUAACGAGCGGUCUUUUCUUCUUUUCUUCUUUUACUUUUUUUUUUUCCUUCUUUUUCUUCUUCUUUUCAUAGACACGUGUCAUGCGCGGUACACACGUAGCGUGGAUCUUCGAGUGUAUGCAGUCACGCGCGCAAGAAACUAUGUGCAGUCACGUGUGAGAGUGGAAUAGCGAAAACGUGAUGCGAUUAUACAUUCUUCCUACGUCGUCAUUUCUCACUUGACGUCGCCCGAUUUCAGCCGGCUCUACAAACUAUGUCUGUAUGUACGUUACUUGCAUCGGAUCACGAGAUCGAUGACGGAGGGGAUCGUUCGACCGCAAGUGCAGCAGUUAAUGUACACCAGCCUUGAACUAUGAGUAUUUUUCAAUUGAUUCAGAGUGUUUUUAAUUUUGAAAUUUGCUUUACGUAAAUUGACCUUACGUAACUAUAAACAGGUUUUCCUUUUGAUUCAGUUUUACGAGGUAACUAGUGAUUUAGAUCCAAAACUAGAACGUUAAUCAUCCAUAAUUAGCAGAUUGCGGAUGUCUACAUGUUUUUCAGGAAAUCUUGUGUUCCAAAAUACAUACAGCUAUAAAAAUAUAAAGUUGCAUAUAUGUACAUCUGCAGUUUAGCAAUCAAAAUUCCAUUUAUUUAUAAGAGAAGAAGAUCAGUCAUUUAUAAGAGAAGUCAGUCGAAGGAGUGUAGCUAAUUACCUCAAUAUUAAAACAAAAACAAUUUUUAGAAUCUCUAAUUUUAAUGAAUGGAUUGAUGCUAAAUUUGAAAUUUGAUCUC
Long non-coding RNA from Frieseomelitta varia, 987 nucleotides. RefSeq lists it as uncharacterized. The transcript has 3 exons. NCBI's taxonomy places the organism in Eukaryota, Metazoa, Arthropoda, Insecta, Hymenoptera, Apidae. The record is from RefSeq and is a predicted model, not a curated record.